AUUGAGCACGUAGGUGGGUUUGUAAGUCAGACGUGAAAGCCUCCUGUUCAACGGGAGAAUUGCAUCUGAAACUACUGAUCUUGAGUGUAGGAGGGGAGAAUGGAACUUCUGGUGGAGCGGUGAAAUGCGUAGAUAUCAGAAGGAACGCCGGCGGCGAAAGCGAUUCUCUGGCCUAUUACUGACACUCAGUGUGCGAAAGCUAGGGGAGCAAACGGGAUUAGAUACCCCGGUAGUCCUAGCCGUAAACGAUGGGCACUAAGUAGAGGGG
This 268-nucleotide ribosomal RNA is filed under the name uncultured Planctomycetota bacterium. Its description in RNAcentral is "uncultured planctomycete partial 16S ribosomal RNA". It matches the Rfam family "Bacterial small subunit ribosomal RNA", at positions 565 to 828 of the family's 1533-position model. Lineage: Bacteria; Pseudomonadati; Planctomycetota. The record is from RNAcentral.